Molecule: ribosomal RNA, 253 nt
Filed under: uncultured bacterium
Lineage: Bacteria
Description: partial 16S ribosomal RNA
Rfam family: Bacterial small subunit ribosomal RNA
Source: RNAcentral
UACAGAGGGUGCAAGCGUUAAUCGGAAUUACUGGGCGUAAAGCGCGCGUAGGUGGUUUGUUAAGUUGGAUGUGAAAUCCCCGGGCUCAACCUGGGAAUUGCAUCCAAAACUGGCAAGCUAGAGUAUGGUAGAGGGUGGUGGAAUUUCCUGUGUAGCGGUGAAAUGCGUAGAUAUAGGAAGGAACACCAGUGGCGAAGGCGACCACCUGGACUGAUACUGACACUGAGGUGCGAAAGCGUGGGGAGCAAACAGG